GGGCCCACCCCCAGCCCCCGCGUCCGUGCGUAGCGCUUCGUAAAGCGUGAGGGGGUUCGCGACAGCCCUGGCCCCACCCCUUUGGCCACAUGUCGCGCCGGUCUCCCCGUCAGACGCCGCGCCACCUCCUCGCGCUGCUUUACGAACUUAAAGCAGCGCCGCCCCGCCUCCCGUGUCCCUCCUCACCUCCCCGCCCCCUCCCUGUUUCGCGUCUCCUAGCCCGACGCGCUCGCUAUACUCACGUGACUGCCUCAUCCGGGUCCUUUGCGUUCUCUCUCCCUCUCCCAACAUGGCGGCCUCAGCAAAAAAGAAGAAUAAGAAGGGGAAGACUAUCUCCCUAACAGACUUUCUAGCUGAGGAUGGAGGGACUGGUGGAGGAAGCACUUAUGUCCCCAAACCAGUCAGCUGGGCUGAUGAAACAGAUGACCUAGAAGGAGAUGUUUCAACCACUUGGCAUAGUAAUGAUGACGAUGUGUAUAGGGCACCUCCAAUUGACCGUUCCAUUCUGCCCACUGCUCCACGGGCUGCUCGGGAACCCAAUAUCGACCGGAGCCGUCUUCCCAAAUCGCCACCCUACACUGCUUUUCUAGGGAACCUGCCCUAUGAUGUGACAGAAGACUCCAUCAAGGAAUUCUUUAGAGGAUUAAAUAUCAGUGCAGUGCGUUUACCACGUGAACCCAGCAAUCCUGAGAGGUUGAAAGGUUUCGGUUACGCUGAGUUUGAGGACCUGGAUUCCUUGCUCAGUGCCCUGAGCCUCAAUGAAGAGUCUCUAGGUAACAGGAGAAUUCGAGUGGACGUUGCUGAUCAAGCACAGGAUAAAGACAGGGAUGAUCGUUCUUUCGGCCGAGAUAGAAAUCGGGAUUCUGACAAAACAGACACAGACUGGAGGGCCCGGCCUGCUACAGACAGCUUUGAUGACUACCCGCCUAGAAGAGGUGAUGACAGCUUUGGAGACAAGUAUCGAGAUCGUUAUGACUCUGACCGAUACCGUGAUGGGUAUCGGGACAGUUACCGUGAUGGGCCGCGCCGGGACAUGGAUCGAUAUGGGGGCCGAGAUCGUUAUGAUGACCGAGGCAGCAGAGACUAUGAUAGAGGCUACGAUUCCAGGAUAGGCAGUGGCAGAAGAGCGUUUGGUAGUGGGUACCGUAGGGACGACGACUACAGAGGAGGCGGGGACCGCUAUGAAGACAGAUAUGACAGACGAGAUGACCGGUCAUGGAGCUCCAGAGAUGAUUAUUCUCGGGACGAUUAUCGGCGUGAUGAUAGAGGUCCCCCCCAAAGACCCAAACUGAACCUAAAGCCUCGGAGUACUCCUAAGGAAGAUGAUUCCUCUGCUAGCACCUCCCAGUCCAGUCGAGCAGCCUCUAUCUUUGGAGGGGCAAAGCCUGUUGACACAGCUGCUAGAGAACGAGAAGUAGAAGAGCGGCUACAGAAGGAGCAGGAGAAGUUGCAGCGUCAGCUGGAUGAGCCAAAACUAGAACGGCGGCCUCGGGAGAGACACCCAAGCUGGCGAAGUGAAGAAACUCAGGAACGAGAACGGUCAAGGACAGGGAGUGAAUCAUCACAGACUGGGACCUCAGCCGCAUCUGGCCGAAGUAAGUCAGACCAGGAUGCACGAAGAAGAGAGAGUGAGAAGUCUCUAGAAAAUGAAACAUCCAAUAAAGAGGAAGACUGUCAGUCUCCAACUUCUAAGCCUCCCAAACCUGAACAGCCUCUAAAGGUAAUGCCAGCCCCUCCACCAAAGGAGAAUGCUUGGGUGAAGCGAAGUUCUAACCCUCCUGCUCGAUCUCAGAGCUCAGACACAGAGCAGCAGUCCCCUACAAGUGGUGGAGGGAAAGUAGUUCCAUCUCACCCAUCUGAGGAAGGACCAGCAAGGAAAGAUGAAAAUAAAGUAGAUGGAGUGAGUGUCCCAAAAGGCCAAAGUGGGAACUCCAGCCGUGGUCCAGGAGACGGAGGCAGCAGAGACCACUGGAAGGAGUCAGAUAGGAAAGAUGGCAGAAAGGAUCAAGACUCCAGAUCUGCACCUGAGCCAAAGAAAGCUGAAGAAAAUCCAGCCUCUAAGUUCAGUUCUGCAAGCAAGUAUGCUGCUCUCUCCAUUGAUGGUGAAGAUGAAAAUGAGGGAGAUUACACCGAAUAGACCUCUGCGUUGUGUGCUUUCUCCUAGUCUCUCUCCACCCUGGAACAUUCGAGAGCAAAUCAAACCUCUAUCCAGACAAGACAAAAUAAAACUCACCAUCUCCUGGAGACCUUUCUUAACUUUUUUUUAAAAAAACAAAACAAAAUGAAAUGAAAUUCUUUUGCAUGCUGCUGCAGCCUUUAAAGUAUUGAACUAACUGGAGUAUCACCAGUGUAGAGAUGUACAGCUUUUAAUGGGAAAGUUGUGCAGUUUUAUGACACAUGCAGUUGCCUGUGUGAUUAGUGCCUAGGGGCCUCUGUUUAGCAGAAUGGCAGUAAUAGUGAUGCAACGUCUGGAAUCUGGGCAGUAGGGCAGGUACAAGGAAGACUAUGAGGUUUCUGCCUUUAAUUCUUAUAUCCUAUUGUGGCAUACAUGAAUUCUCAAACAUCUGAAUAAAUACUCCAUCCUUGGCAAGGUAGGUUUAGUCUCUGGUGUUGUUUUAGUCUCCAGGAGGCUGCCAGCCCCUCCUCUUAAUUCUUGAGUUACUGGGGCCAGCCUAGGGGGAGUGUCUUCAUUUGUACCCCCUAGGGGGGUAGGUAGAAGUGAAUCUACAGGCCACUGAAAAAUAGGACUGUGGUGACCAAAAUAAAGGGGAAAAUCGUGGUUUGAAAAGCUUUGGGGAUUUGAUGAAUUAUUUUUCACCAGUAAUUGGGAAAAUGGUAUGACCUCCAAUAAACACAUGAAUGCUUUACUUCUGGAGCAGGAAGCACUUAGGGGUGGUGGGACUUCCCAAUCGUUUAUGCGUCCUGAUUUCGCCCUUUCUUAAACACUAUCCCUUCUAAGACUUCACAUAUAUUCACAUUCUGUUAAAAUCUUGAAGCUUUAAAAAUGUAGGUUCUUGGCAUCUUACGUUCCUCAUGCUGCUCUGUCCUGUUACCUUCCCAAAGGCAGCUUCUUAAGCCACAGCCCGAUUGCCUCGGCCUUCUCCACAGCGCCAGGGAGCUGGCCAAUGAGGAAGCUCUGCUUUUCUUUUUCGCAAAGCGAAUCUUGGCUCCUUCGUGUCUUGACUCUCCCUCCUUCCCCCAUCCAUUCCUGCUCUUGCUUCUUGGAUCCCUUUUCCACUUCAGAGAACUUGAUAAGUACCGGUCUUAGGUAGUCAGGGAGGUGGUUGAAUUGGGAGCCUUUCUUAAAACCUUGAUUGGUGGGGGCGGGGGGGGGGGGAGAGCUAUUUUUUUCUAAGCAAGUUUCCUCUCUCCUGAAAUCCCACUCCAAUGUUUGGAUUUAUAAUGUGGCCUAGAGCAAUGUGGGGUGGGGGUGUUUGGCUUUUUUAGCGUCCCUUGAGAGAAGAAAUGAUAAUGGUGAGAAGGAUUUAACAAGGUCCUGGCUUCUCUUGCAACACAGUAGCUUAGCCCGCCUCUUCUGAGCACCUUUGUGCUGUCCGCUCAGUAGAUGGUGUCCUUAAGGCAGUGUCGGUACCUAUGGAGAAAAGACACCUUGGUCUCUUGUUUGCAAGCCCUUGUCCCAUCAGUCCUCAGGUCAGAUCCUGUCCAGCUGUGCAGGCAUGUUGCUCAUGAGUGCUGCAGCAGUGGGCGGAAGGAGUCACUUAGCAGUGGAUGGAAGAGACAUACCAAACGGAGUAACCGAAGAAUUGGCUCGGAUUGGCUAGUAGCUAGGAAGUGGCUUUUAGAGAUACCCCAGGUUGAAAGGGUAUUUUUUUAAACCAUUUGCUAUAGAUGAUGAAAAGAUAGGGUUUGCCCUCUUCAUGUCAACUCCUUCCAAAUAGUUGUAUCCAAAAAAGCUGGUUUUUUUCCCAUUCCUUUACCCUGCCACCCUGUCAGAACAAACAGGGAUUUAUGACCCGCUUCUCAAUACAUGUAAAAUUUGUACAAAAAUAUCUUCUAUGAAAAUGAUUUGUAAUCUGUAGACUUAAUACCUGGGAGAUGUCUUGAGAUGUAAAAUCCCAUCCUUUGGGUUGUGGGGUUUUUUUGUUUUCUCCAAAUAAAUCUGAUCUUUAAAGUUCA
Sus scrofa (pig) is the source of this 4137-nucleotide long non-coding RNA. RefSeq annotates it as eukaryotic translation initiation factor 4B. The record is from RefSeq and is a predicted model, not a curated record. Lineage: Eukaryota; Metazoa; Chordata; Mammalia; Artiodactyla; Suidae.